GACUUUUAUUCCGCUCGUAUAUUCCUCAGCACAAACAAAUUGAUUUUUUUAUAAGAAAAAGCACCGUCACAAUUAUUUAUUCCUUGUUUAAUCUUUGGAUGCCGUCUUAAAUCUUGAUAUCCGCUCCCGAUAAAUAUUGGUGUCCGCGUUCAAGAUGAACCAAAAUAAAAAUAAAUUAAAAAAAAUUAUCUCUGGUUCUCUGCCAUGGCAACACCUCCCACCCCACUGGUGUUCGAGGUGUCUAGACGGGAACCAGUUCUGAUCACCCCUUCUGAGCCAACCCCACAUGAACUCAAACCUCUCUCAGACAUAGAUGACCAAGAUGGUCUCAGAGUCCAAAUUCCUCUCAUUUAUUUUUACCCUUACGAUCCUUCAAUGCAGAGGAGGGAUCCUGUUGAGGUCAUUAAGAAAGCACUUGCUAAAACACUGGUGUUUUACUAUCCAUUUGCCGGUAGGCUUAGAGAAGGGCCUAAGCGUAAGCUCUUAGUGGAGUGUACAGGUGAGGGUAUUUUGUUUAUUGAGGCUGAUGCCGAUGUUACGCUUGAGCAGUUUGGUGAUGAACUCUAUCCUCCAAUUCCUUGCCUGGAGGAGCUCCUCUAUGACGUGCCUGGCUCCAGCGGGAUGAUAAACUGCCCUCUGCUGCUUAUUCAGGUGACGCGUCUCAAGUGCGGCGGAAUUGUUUUUGCUAUCCGUCUGAACCACACCAUGAGUGACGGUACUGGCUUAAACCAGUUUUUGUCAGCCAUGUGUGAAAUGGUGCAUGGAGCACAGACUCCCUCUAUCCAACCAGUUUGGGAAAGGCACGUUUUAAAUGCAAGGAACCCACCUCAGGUAACCUGCUUACACCACGAGUAUGAUCAACUGGUUGAUGACACCACUGACAACAUUCCGCUUACUAAGAAGACCCAUCGUUCAUUCUUUUUUGGACCUGCUAACAUAUCUGCUAUUCGUGGCUUUGCCCCACUACACCUUCGCCAUUGCUCCACAUUUGAUGUAUUGACUGCGUUUUUGUGGAGGUGCCGAACCAUUGCACUUCAACCAAACCCAAAUGAUGAGAUGCGGAUACUAUGCACUGUCAAUGCUCGCAAUAGAUUUAACCCUCCCUUACCUAGAGGUUAUUAUGGAAAUUGCAUGGCAUACUCAGUGGCGAUGGCAAAAGCGGGAGAAAUCUCACGAAAUUCUUUAGGCUUUACGCUGGAAUUAGUCAGGAAGGCCAAGGCGAAUGUGACUGAAGAGUACAUGCGAUCAGUGGCUGAUCUACUGGUGAUUAAAGGUAGACCUUGGUACACAAUGGUGCGGUCUUACCUAGUGUCGGAUGUGACUCGUGCAAUGUUUGCAGAGAUGAACUUAGGUUGGGGUAAGCCGAAGUAUGCCGGGCCUGCUAAGGGUAAUGUGGCAAGCUUUCAGAUACCAUAUAGGACUAAGAAAGGAGAAGAUGGUGUUCUUGUGACCCUUUGCUUACCGACUCUGGCUAUGGAAAGAUUUGUGAAGGAGCUGGAUAGCACGUUUAAGGAGCAGUCAAAUGGUGGCGGCAAUGCUAAAUCCCCCUUAUCUUCCUUGUAGGGAAAAUAACUAUUUUUCCAAAUGAUAUAAAUGCAUGCCUAUUGUGUUCAUUUGCUUUGAGUUCAUGUGGAGAAUCUAUCUGGAUUUGUUUUUGGAUCAUGUUAACUAAGACACCGAGCACCAUCUUGGACAAGUCACUUGCUACAAUGGAUGGGCAGAGAAGCUGUUCUACAAGAACCUCCUAAUGGACGCAGCAGACUGGUUUCAUGAGGAUAUUCUUCAUUUUCUGACUGAAAAUAUGGUAAAAACCUUGCCUGUGUAGGAUUCUUGUU
Molecule: RNA transcript, 1835 nt
Organism: Populus euphratica (Euphrates poplar)
Lineage: Eukaryota; Viridiplantae; Streptophyta; Magnoliopsida; Malpighiales; Salicaceae
Gene name: benzyl alcohol O-benzoyltransferase-like
Exons: 3
Source: RefSeq, a predicted model, not a curated record